CCCUGUGGAGCUUCAAACACUUAAAUUAAUUAUGUAACCAUCCAUUUCCCAGGAAAUAAACAAAAUAUACAACACUUCUAAUUUAACUGUUUUUGGUUGGGGUGACCAAGGGGAAAAACAAAUCCCCCUCAUCGAUUGAGUACUAAGUACUUAAAAAUUAGAAUGACAAUUCUAAUUAAUAAAACAUUUACCGAAAAAUGAUCCAGGAUUUCCUGAUCAAUGAACCAAGUUACCCUAGGGAUAACAGCGCAAUCCUUUCUCAGAGUCCCUAUCGAAGAGAGGGUUUACGACCUCGAUGUUGG
RNAcentral lists this ribosomal RNA (302 nucleotides) under Prionace glauca (blue shark). RNAcentral describes it as "partial 16S ribosomal RNA". It matches the Rfam family "Bacterial large subunit ribosomal RNA", at positions 2089 to 2535 of the family's 2925-position model. Lineage: Eukaryota; Metazoa; Chordata; Chondrichthyes; Carcharhiniformes; Carcharhinidae. The record is from RNAcentral.